ACAGGUGUGCAAACCACUGCUGACAAUGGCUCUGAUGAAGACCUGAGUAGGUAGCAAUAAGUUGGCUGUUUUUAACAUAUGUGAGAUGUAAAUUAAGACAUUUCAAUUUUACACCACUAAUACAGUGUGCCUUGGAGUAUUUUUUGAAGGACUGUUGCAGUUUUCAAUUUUUACCGAUGCAACUAUAGCCGGUACAAGCCUAAAGUAUCCAAGGAGCACCUAGAGCCAGUAGUGCUUCCAUCCCCCAGUUUCAGGGAAUUCAGUGUGAUUUAUGGACUGCAUUUUACCACCUACGCUGAUGAAGGUUCCGCAAAAUAUCAAGGGUCACUCUCCUGCACCGCACCUUCCACCUAUGCAAAGCUUCAACACUUGCUGUAAAUUUCAUCAAGAAUGAAGACAGUGGAAGGCCUCUGCUGUGUUGUUGAAGAAUUGCGUGCGAAACACCAGGGCCGGUUAAACUAGGCAUCACCUUGAUGAUCCUUGAUGUCCCACAGCUUUAUCAGCUCCGCAAGGACGCAGUUGGACAUCAGAUCACCUCGGACUGCUUCAACAAUGAGGGUUUUACAAAGCUGGGUUUACAUCAACAUGGACUCACUUAAAAGGAUCUUUACCAACUGUUUGUGACCCAACAACAUUUAACGGGCGAUUGACAACACUCAAGCAGCCACCCACUCAGAUCAUUGCAUGGAUAAUGAGGUUGGACACUAAGAGGCAGCGCAUCCUCCACAGAGGCUGAAUUUGGGAUUUUUGGAACAGACGUCUAAACCUUGCUUAAAUGACAACUAGAAACAUGUAAACAGCCUAAAAGAAACA
Notolabrus celidotus (New Zealand spotty) is the source of this 813-nucleotide long non-coding RNA. RefSeq lists it as uncharacterized. The transcript has 6 exons. The record is from RefSeq and is a predicted model, not a curated record. Lineage: Eukaryota; Metazoa; Chordata; Actinopteri; Labriformes; Labridae.